GAGCUCAUAGAUGGGAGACAGCUAAUACAUACUUAUAAGACAUUUAUUGCAUAGUCAAACCAUGGAUCUAGAGAAACAAGUCAAUAAGUCAAAUCAAGAUGUGCAUGUGUGGCGAAUGAAUGGUGUAUGGUGAUGAUGGUGAUAACAAUGGUGAAAGUCUAAUUCUACUUGUGCUCUUUUGAGGGAUACAUACCUUUCUUGCUUUUUUUAAACUUUUUGAGGAGAAUGAGAUGCUCUAUAUUUUCUUUUCCUUUUCUCUCAGGUGGGUAUCUUGUACCCCUAAUUCUACUGUCGGACACUUGU
RNAcentral lists this long non-coding RNA (303 nucleotides) under Sorghum bicolor (sorghum). Its description in RNAcentral is "long non-coding RNA (SBIC_LNC014282)". The record is from RNAcentral. Lineage: Eukaryota; Viridiplantae; Streptophyta; Magnoliopsida; Poales; Poaceae.